RNAcentral lists this long non-coding RNA (369 nucleotides) under Bos indicus x Bos taurus (hybrid cattle). RNAcentral's name for it is "lncRNA (ENSBIXG00000006788.1)". The record is from RNAcentral. Lineage: Eukaryota; Metazoa; Chordata; Mammalia; Artiodactyla; Bovidae.
GAGGGAUUGGACCCAGGUCUCUUACAUUGCAGACAGAUUAUUUAUUUUUUUUUUUAACCAUCUGAGCCUCCAGGGAAUCCCCUUCAGCUGCAAGAAUUUCCCCCCACCCCUUCCUCCUCUCCACCUUCUUCAUGGCACCAGUUUCCACACACUUCAAAGCAUGAAGUCAGGAAACCAUGGAAAAUCACAGGAGACCAGUUCUCUGACUUCAAAGCUGAAGACACGGCACAAACUGGCUGGUCAUAUUCUUCGUUUUACAAACCAUGGUGGUUGGUAUAGAGGUGAGCACGUGUCCUAAGCUGAGCUUAUCAGAAUUCCUUCUUGUUUAUUCUAUUUUAUUUUUCUUUCUUUCUCUUCCUUCCUUCCUCC